This 220-nucleotide ribosomal RNA is filed under the name uncultured Glomus. RNAcentral describes it as "partial small subunit ribosomal RNA". It matches the Rfam family "Eukaryotic small subunit ribosomal RNA", at positions 591 to 816 of the family's 1831-position model. Lineage: Eukaryota; Fungi; Glomeromycota; Glomeromycetes; Glomerales; Glomeraceae. The record is from RNAcentral.
CCAAUAGCGUAUAUUAAAGUUGUUGCAGUUAAAAAGCUCGUAGUUGAAUUUCGGGAUCAAUAUAUCGGUCGUGCCAUUGGUACGCACUGGUAUCAUUGGUUUCUCCUUUCUGACGAACCAUGAUGUCAUUAAUUUGGUGUUAUGGGAAGUUAGGACUGUUACUUUGAAAAAAUUAGAGUGUUUAAAGCAGGCUUUAGCUUGAAUACAUUAGCAUGGAAUA